CAAAUACUCCCUCCGUUCGGAAUUACUUGUCAUAGAAAUGGAUGUAUAUAGACGUAUUUUAGUUCUAGAUAUAUCCAUUUUAUCCAUUUCUGUGGCAUGUAAUUCAGGACGAAGAGAGUAGUUA
Molecule: non-coding RNA, 124 nt
Organism: Triticum aestivum (bread wheat)
Lineage: Eukaryota; Viridiplantae; Streptophyta; Magnoliopsida; Poales; Poaceae
Source: Rfam